UGUGUAGGCGGUGCUCUAAGUCUGUUGUGAAAUCUCCCGGCUUAACUGGGAGGGUGCGGCGGAAACUGGAGUGCUCGAGGGUGGGAGAGGUAAGCGGAAUUCCUGGUGUAGCGGUGAAAUGCGUAGAUAUCAGGAGGAACACCUGUGGUGUAGACAGCUUACUGGACCACUUCUGACGCUGAGACACGAAAGCGUGGUAGCAAACA
Molecule: ribosomal RNA, 206 nt
Filed under: uncultured bacterium
Lineage: Bacteria
Description: partial 16S ribosomal RNA
Rfam family: Bacterial small subunit ribosomal RNA
Source: RNAcentral